GACGAACGCUGGCGGCGUGCUUCAUACAUGCAAGUCGAACGGACACCAAUCAGUGGCAACACUGAGGAAGUGUUAGUGGCGAACGGGUGAGUAACACGUGAGGAACUUGCCCCGGACUCUGGGAUAACAGUUGGAAACGGCUGCUAAUACCAGAUGCCAUCGGAGGAUCGCAUGGUCCACCGAUGAAAGAAUUUCGGUCCGGGAUGGCCUCGCGGCCUAUCAGCUAGUUGGUGGGGUAACGGCCUACCAAGGCGUCGACGGGUAGCUGGUCUGAGAGGAUGAUCAGCCACACUGGGACUGAGACACGGCCCAGACUCCUACGGGAGGCAGCAGUGGGGAAUUUUGGACAAUGGGCGAAAGCCUGAUCCAGCCAUGCCGCGUGCGGGAAGAAGGCCUUCGGGUUGUAAACCGCUUUAGUCCGGGAAAAGGGACGUGACGUGCUAAUACCGCGUUGGUUUGUAUGGUACUGGAAGAAUAAGCACCGGCUAACUACGUGCCAGCAGCCGAC
This 508-nucleotide ribosomal RNA is filed under the name uncultured bacterium. RNAcentral's name for it is "bacterial SSU rRNA". It matches the Rfam family "Bacterial small subunit ribosomal RNA", at positions 28 to 518 of the family's 1533-position model. The record is from RNAcentral.